AGUUUAGGCUAUAAAUUUUUGACUCGCCACUUAAACUAUGUUAACUUUGUCUUUGUCACCCAGAUACUAGAGGCUGCAUGGCCCAGAGUGUUUCCCCCACCACCAGUGUACUGAGUGCAGAUACUAAAGAUUACGUGUUCCUGAGAGUGUUUCUCCCACCACCAGUGUAAGGAGUUGGAAAGAAGCCUGCCCACUCAUUGAGGCCCGAAAGUCAUAUUGUAGCGUUGGAACCAAUAUGGCUGAAUAUCUCUGCCAGGCGACCAAAAGAACAAGAGACCCAAACCCUUCGUUCUGACUCUCGGGGACAAUCGCCUCUACUCCCUGGCAUUCACCAUCAGGCUCUGGAGCAGAAGACAGUUUCAUUUAUUUUAUUUUAUUUUUUUAACAAAAUGUCAUAUUAAUUUGUUUACUUUUCUUCAGCCCCAUUCCUCAGCUUUAACUGGUAGGGCUGCUGUGAUUUUCAAAUUAUGGAUUGUGCUUCUAAAGUUUGUUUGUGUGUUCCUUAUUUGUUAUAUUUUGCGUGACUUCAUUUUGUAGCUGAAAUUAAUAUCAGAAAAAAUCUACAAUUAUCUACAAUUUGUCAUAUGUCAUUUUAA
Molecule: long non-coding RNA, 596 nt
Organism: Coregonus clupeaformis (lake whitefish)
Lineage: Eukaryota; Metazoa; Chordata; Actinopteri; Salmoniformes; Salmonidae
Exons: 3
Source: RefSeq, a predicted model, not a curated record